Molecule: RNA transcript, 1530 nt
Organism: Triplophysa dalaica
Lineage: Eukaryota; Metazoa; Chordata; Actinopteri; Cypriniformes; Nemacheilidae
Gene: srsf3b
Gene name: serine and arginine rich splicing factor 3b
Exons: 6
Source: RefSeq, a predicted model, not a curated record
UCAUGACGUAACGUCUAGUACGAAUUUGCGUUCGCAACUCCGCGCUGCGCCAUUUCACUGAACACCCGCCACACUGGAGACCGAAAUCGAGCAGAAACGCGGUCGACAAACGCGCGAUAUUGAAGAUCCAGCCAUGCAUCGGGAUUGUCCUCUUGACUGUAAGGUGUACGUGGGUAACCUUGGCAACAAUGGCAAUAAAUCCGAGCUGGAGAGAUCGUUUGGGUAUUACGGACCCCUGAGGAGCGUUUGGGUGGCCCGGAAUCCUCCCGGCUUUGCGUUUGUGGAGUUUGAGGACCCUCGCGAUGCCACAGAUGCCGUCAGAGAGCUGGACGGACGGACUCUUUGCGGUUGCCGGGUGAGGGUGGAGCUAUCCAACGGGGAGAAGCGAAAUCGUAACCGGGGUCCGCCUCCAUCCUGGAGCCGACGCCCACGCGAUGAACACCGUAGACGUAGCCCGACCGCCAGACGCAGAGUCACCACCAUGCCUCUCCUCACCACCCUCAGUCUACUAGUCCUCUUUCAGCAUCAUGUGACCAGCGUGCCCCAAUCAGCUGGCUGGGUCGGUGUCACAUGACCCAGGCACGGCCAGUCAUCAGGUGGCACCAGCCCAUUGGUUCCUGAGCAUGCUGUUGUCAGCUCCUCCGACCUUAACACCCAAUCGGCAGCGGCCCACUUCACAUUCCUCACCCAUCGGCGUUUAACGUUUACCAAUGUCUACACUUCCAAGCGGCAUCAUCAGCCUACAGCUAAGCAAUAAAAGCAGGAAAAAUCCACUACGUCCAGCCCCCAUCCGCAAGCCAGCUAAUCAGCGCCAGCUAAUCAGCUCGCGGCAUCUGGCCUGCACUUUCCCACCAAUUCUGCUCCCCGGCCGCCAGCCGUCUCCCCUUCGCCCUUUCUAGCUUGUUGAAAACCAAAAGCCUAGUAAGUUUUUCCUGCUUUAUACAGUUUAAUGCUGAAAUACAGAUGUAAGAUGAGGAGAAAUCUCCUGUGCAGUUGAGUCAAACAGAGUUGGUAUGAAAUCUCCUGAACACACACACAGAGAGAGAGAGAGAGAGAGAGAGAGCGGGGUUAAGCUAGGGAAGCAGACUGAUGGGGAGUCCAAACGGAGGUUCAGUGUGUGUCUUUUUUUCUUUCACUGUCUCCAUUCUGUCUGCUGUGCGUGAUUUCUAGACGCUGAUGUUAACUAGUUCUAGUCUCAGAGCAGUGUCGCGAGGUUCACCCAACCCUCGUGUGUUGAUGUUGUUGUUGAUGAUGUGAGAGCGGAUCUCCACUCCACCCCUGUAUCAGGGCGGUGUUGAGUUCUAGCCGGCUGGAGAUUCAGGGCUGUGGUCAUCUUCUGAACAGUCUGCUCACUCUUGUGCUCAUUUUCCCUCCUCUUCAGAUCUCCCAGGAAGAGGAGCUUCAGUCGUAGUCGCAGCAGAUCUUUGUCCAGAGAGCGCAGGAGGGAAAGAUCUCUGUCCCGUGACAGGAACCACAAACCCUCAAGAUCUUUCUCGCGAUCGAGGAGCCGUUCCAGAUCGACCGAGAGGA